Salvia splendens (bonfire salvia) is the source of this 717-nucleotide long non-coding RNA. RefSeq lists it as uncharacterized. The record is from RefSeq and is a predicted model, not a curated record. The transcript has 2 exons. Lineage: Eukaryota; Viridiplantae; Streptophyta; Magnoliopsida; Lamiales; Lamiaceae.
UCAAAAACAAUUUACACAUAUACUUCCUUUUCUCAAAACAAGAAAAUGGGUAGAGGCCCAAGUUUUUUUUUUAAAAAGAACCACUCAACUAAUUGGCCCAAAACAAUUAAAAGUAUUACUAUUAGUUUUCAAAUGUAACACACGUACACUCCCAUUCACUUUCAACAUAUUAAGGGAUUAACUAAAAAAAAGUAACAAAAAAAAAUUCAAGUACUUCCUUUCCCAAACCUAUCGUGACUCUCUCUCUACUGUAAUUUCUUCAAACAGGGAGCACACCCAAUUUCUUUUGAUGAACAAACCAGACAAUACACACACGCACCAACAUCACGAAAUUGAAUACACCCGGAGUCCACUGUCUCUCCAAGUCGUCAACGCCGCUGCGUCCCCGCUAAACUCCGCCGUUCGCCUGGGUUUGAGAGCAGUCGCUGCUGUCCGUCCAAUCCAGCCAUCGUACCGUCGAGAUCGAUCACGGGGGAGGAAAAACUCAUCACGGAGGAGGAAAAACUCGAGAAAAAACUCUGCAGAAUCUUUAAUUAGAAAUUUGAAUUAAUGCAGCCCGUUGACCAAGUCAACAUGGAGGAGAUUUAGUUAGAUUAGUUUAAUUCGCGGUCCCUUUGUAUUUUAUUUAAAUUGUGCAGCCCACAAUUUAUUUAUCACGGACUAAAUUUUUAUAUCAUUUAUUCAAUUUUUCCGAUCCAACUCGCGGAUUGAGGCCAA